Molecule: long non-coding RNA, 1516 nt
Filed under: Scleropages formosus (Asian bonytongue)
Lineage: Eukaryota; Metazoa; Chordata; Actinopteri; Osteoglossiformes; Osteoglossidae
Description: lncRNA (ENSSFOG00015026424.1)
Source: RNAcentral
CAUCGCCAUGGCUGUUUCCACAGCCUUUUUAAAUUUGGAAAGAAGAACACCUAGGCUACGAUCUGAAUUAUACAAGGGAACUGGUUCAAAACCCAACCGGCGGGAGACGAGGGGCCGAACCAACAGGGGCAGAAGCGUAAAUACACAUGCGGCUUUGUUUUUGUUUUGAAGUAGCUCUUGUUUUAAACAAGACUGCGGAUCCCUGACGUAUGAUGCGGCGCUGCCGCGUGUCAACUGAAGGAUCAGGUAACCGGCAUACGGUCAUAAUCAACAGGGAUCGGGGAAAAACUGAACUCUACAUCGGUCUAUUCAACACAUGUUGAGAGCUGGAGGAACGGGAGCCGUUUCGCUCAUUCAUAACUGCAUAUGAGAAUGAAUGAUACAGCAGCAUGUGACAAACAGACCCCCUCUGCUGUUCGCGGAGAACACAAACAAUCGCGUUUUGGCCGGCGGCCCUUGGCAAAAGCACGACUACUUCAGCCACACAUGGAGAGGUAGGUGCGCCGCUGGCACGCUCCGAGGCCGAACUGCCAAAGCGGCCCUCGGCGCGUAGCUUUCUGAUCACUAUCACGGUCAUUUACCUGUCAAACAGGAUGAAACUGUGCUGGGGAAUAACAAAGAGAACAUGUUUCACAACCGUGACACAAACCUGGAUGCGUUGGAGCCGACAGAAAUAACCCUCGCGGGACACCCGAAGAGCCUGGGAAAGACACUCCGGAGCGAAAACACCCGCUUGCGUGUUUUUCUCCCGUCGCCCUCGGACGAAACGGCGAAGGCCAUUCGAAGCCGAGACCACGCGUGACCCAGAGCUCGAAGAAGCCCCUCGAGGAGACAUCGUACGGGCCCACAGACCUACCGCGAGACAACCGCCUGAAGCGGAGAAGGAAAUGAGUCGGUCAUACUUUCGAGGUAGCAGGGUUGCUGCCCUUUCUCAGCAUCCAGAUGGACUGCUCUCCCAGGAUCAUCUGCUGCAUGGGACCUCCCGAGGGUUCAGGUUUCCACCCAUGCCGUCAGCAAUUAAUGCCUCGCUUGUGCACGCCAGCCCUGUCAUGAGGCUCGUGGAAGCUGUCAGCCAGCCUUGGCAGGAGUCACAGCUCAAAACUUCGGUGAUGUCAGGACGAAAACGCGCCAUCGCUUCUGUUUUGGGCCGCAGGAGUUGCCAGCCAACUCCUUGUAGGCUCAUAACUCAGAGCCAUUUCUUCUCAGUCAUGACAGUUACAGAAGAGGGAAGUAGAGAAGACAUACAACACACAACGGUACAUCAGUAAGCCUCAUGUACCUAAAGAGUCUGGUAGUUGAGAACAUGCACUUGUGACCUUGCGCUUGGUUGCCGGUUCAAGUGCCACGAAGGGUUCCUGCAGUAGCAUCAGCAGUGAAAAAUCCUCCUGCGCACGAGUGAAAUUAUUCUGGUUACAGCCUGUUGGCUUAGCAGUAAAAGGAAACAGUGCAAUGAACUUAAAAAUCUAUCUAAAUAUAAUAAUUUAGGAGCAGCUGGCAGUGUAGUGGUUGCAUCUUC